RNAcentral lists this ribosomal RNA (331 nucleotides) under uncultured eukaryote. RNAcentral's name for it is "partial 18S ribosomal RNA". It matches the Rfam family "Eukaryotic small subunit ribosomal RNA", at positions 1470 to 1796 of the family's 1831-position model. The record is from RNAcentral.
CCCUUAGAUGUUCUGGGCCGCACGCGCGCUACACUGACGAAGUCAGCGAGCAUGUCCUACGCCGACAGGUGCGGGGAAUCUUGUCAAACUUCGUCGUGAUGGGGAUUGGUUAUUGAAAUUCUUGAUCAUCAACGAGGAAUUCCUAGUAAGCGCAAGUCAGCAGCUUGCGUUGAUUACGUCCCUGCCCUUUGUACACACCGCCCGUCGCUACUACCGAUUGAAUGGUUUAGUGAGAUCUUCGGAUUGGCGCCACUGCGGCUCAGCAAUGGGCUCGGUGGAUGCCGAAAAGUUGAUCAAACUUGAUCAUUUAGAGGAAGUAAAAGUCGUAACA